Molecule: non-coding RNA, 75 nt
Organism: Euleptes europaea (tarantolino)
Lineage: Eukaryota; Metazoa; Chordata; Lepidosauria; Squamata; Sphaerodactylidae
Source: the annotation of a RefSeq genome assembly
GGAGGGUCCGUGGCUCAACGGUAGAGCAUCUGCCUCGCAUGCAGAAGGUCCCAGGUUCAGUCCCUGGCAUCUCCA